AAAAGAAAUAUUAAUAUAUAUAUAUAUAUAUAUAUAUAUAUAUUUGUAUUUAAUUGAUAAAGUUAAAUAGUAUAUAUUUACUAAUUAAAAUUUUAUGUUAUUAUAUAAUAUUAUUAAUUUAUUAAAUUAUUUUUAAUUUUUUUAAUAAAAGUUUAAUUCUGACUUAAAAAUUUAUUAUAAAUUUUUAUUUAAUAUAUAAAUUUUUGUGAAUAAAUAAUAUUUAUUUAAAUAGUUUAUAUUUUAUUUAUUUUAGUAUAUAAUAUUAUAUAAAAAUAUAAGUAGUUUUUUUUAUAGAAUAUAUUUAAUAAAAAUAGAAAAAUUUUGUGCCAGCAUUCGCGGUUAGACAAAUAUAUUUGAAUAAAUUUUUUUUUAAUUUUAUAGGUAUUAGAAUUAUUUAAAAUUAAUUUUAAUUAAUUAAUUUAAAUUAAGGUGAAAUUUUAUUAAAUUUUAAAUUAAAUUUUUUUAAUUUUUAAUAAUCUAUGAAAAUUAAUUUUUAAACUAGGAUUAGAUACCCUAUUAUUUUAUUUGUAAAUAAAUAUUUAUAAGUUUGUAAAAUAAAAAAUAUAAGGAUAAAUAAUGAUAUUUAUAUUAGUAUUUUUUAUGGUUUUAUUAAUAAUUUAAAUAAUGUUUUUAUUAGGAAAAAUUUUAAAAUUAGGUAGUAGAAGGUAUGUUCUUGAAACUUAAAGAAUUUGACGGUAAUUUAUUCAAUUUAGAGGAACUUGUUUUUUAAUUGAUAAUCCACGAUAAUAAAUACUUAAAUUUAUAUUUAAUAUUAUAUACAUACAUAUAUAUGUAUGUAUAUUAAUUAAAUUUAUUUGUAUAUCGUCGUUUGAAAAAAAUUUUAAUAGGUUAAAUAAUUUUUUUAAAAUUAUUAAUGAAUAUUUUUAUAGUAUUUAUUUAUAAUAAUAGAAAUUCAGAUAAAGGUGCAGUAUAUAUUUAAGUUAAAAUGAGUUACAAUAAAAUUAAUUUAUUUAUGAAUUUAAGAUUUUAAUAUCUUAAUGAAGGAGGAUUUAAAAGUAAAAUUAAUUAAUUAAUUAAUUUGAUAGGUGUUUUAAAUUAUGUACAUAUCGCCCGUCGCUCUCAUUAUAAUAUGAGAUAAGUCGUAACAAAGUAAGAGUACUGGAAAGUGUUUUUAGAAUUAAUUUUUUUAAGAUUUUGAUAGAUAGAUAAAUUAGUAAUAAAUUUUAUUUU
Molecule: ribosomal RNA, 1191 nt
Filed under: Stenocephus fraxini
Lineage: Eukaryota; Metazoa; Arthropoda; Insecta; Hymenoptera; Cephidae
Description: 12S ribosomal RNA
Source: RNAcentral